GUUCCUACGGGAGGCAGCAGGGAAUUUUCGUCAAUGGGCGCAAGCCUGAACGAGCAAUGCCGCGUGAACGAGGAAGGUCUUCGGAUCGUAAAGUUCUGUUGAAGGGGAAAAAGAGCGGAGAGAGGAAAUGAACUCCGAUUGAUAUUACCCUUCGAGGAAGUCACGGCUAACUAUGUGCCAGCAGCCGCGGUAAUACGUAGGUGGCGAGCGUUAUCCGGAAUGAUUGGGCGUAAAGGGUGCGUAGGCGGCCUGCUAAGUCUGGUGUGAAAAGUACCGGCUCAACCGGGACAUGCUCUGGAAACUGG
Molecule: ribosomal RNA, 305 nt
Filed under: uncultured bacterium
Lineage: Bacteria
Description: bacterial SSU rRNA
Rfam family: Bacterial small subunit ribosomal RNA
Source: RNAcentral